GGAAUUCGGAGCGACGCACUCCUCCUCCCAGCGUCCCUCCGAUGGGAUUGGCAACUCUCCUCCUCCCAGUUGCCAAUCAUUAUUAUGACGCCCGCUGGACCUCCUCCCCCAGCGGGCGUUAUAU
This is a non-coding RNA of Beta vulgaris subsp. vulgaris (sugar beet), 124 nucleotides long. NCBI's taxonomy places the organism in Eukaryota, Viridiplantae, Streptophyta, Magnoliopsida, Caryophyllales, Amaranthaceae. The record is from Rfam.